CCUGCGGAAGGAUCAUUACAUU
Molecule: ribosomal RNA, 22 nt
Filed under: Ampelomyces sp. ATCC MYA-3397
Lineage: Eukaryota; Fungi; Ascomycota; Dothideomycetes; Pleosporales; Phaeosphaeriaceae
Description: partial 18S ribosomal RNA
Source: RNAcentral